Linepithema humile (Argentine ant) is the source of this 335-nucleotide non-coding RNA. Lineage: Eukaryota; Metazoa; Arthropoda; Insecta; Hymenoptera; Formicidae. The record is from RefSeq and is a predicted model, not a curated record.
GUCAUCCUGAUGAUGUAAAGACAAUAUUAAACAUUCCGACAGAACAUGUUCGAAAAGGGUUUAUAUACACAUUUAUUUAUCCUUGGUUGGGCACUGGCGUAUUCACUAGUGAAGCAACAAAAUGGCGUAAAAGACGAAAGAUGCUAACACCAGCAUUUCAUUUUGAUAUCUUAAAACAGUUUGUUAAUGUUCUAAUCGAGGAGGGUAAUGACUUGACACAACGUUUGAAUGACAACGAAGGAUUGAUUGUUAAUGAUUUAAUUUUUUUAUUAGUCAUCAUAUGUUGAAUGCAAUAUGCGGUACGUUCGAAAUUUACAAAAACUUUUUUCUCUUUA